RNAcentral lists this ribosomal RNA (648 nucleotides) under uncultured bacterium. RNAcentral describes it as "bacterial SSU rRNA". It matches the Rfam family "Bacterial small subunit ribosomal RNA", at positions 110 to 753 of the family's 1533-position model. The record is from RNAcentral.
GUAAUGCUUAGGAAUCUGCCUAUUAGUGGGGGACAACAUCUCGAAAGGGACGCUAAUACCGCAUACGUCCUACGGGAGAAAGCAGGGGACCUUCGGGCCUUGCGCUAAUAGAUGAGCCUAAGUCGGAUUAGCUAGUUGGUGGGGUAAAGGCCUACCAAGGCGACGAUCUGUAGCGGGUCUGAGAGGAUGAUCCGCCACACUGGGACUGAGACACGGCCCAGACUCCUACGGGAGACAGCAGUGGGGAAUAUUGGACAAUGGGGGGAACCCUGAUCCAGCCAUGCCGCGUGUGUGAAGAAGGCCUUUUGGUUGUAAAGCACUUUAAGCGAGGAGGAGGCUACCGAGAUUAAUACUCUUGGAUAGUGGACGUUACUCGCAGAAUAAGCACCGGCUAACUCUGUGCCAGCAGCCGCGGUAAUACAGAGGGUGCAAGCGUUAAUCGGAUUUACUGGGCGUAAAGCGCGCGUAGGUGGCCAAUUAAGUCAAAUGUGAAAUCCCCGAGCUUAACUUGGGAAUUGCAUUCGAUACUGGUUGGCUAGAGUAUGGGAGAGGAUGGUAGAAUUCCAGGUGUAGCGGUGAAAUGCGUAGAGAUCUGGAGGAAUACCGAUGGCGAAGGCAGCCAUCUGGCCUAAUACUGACACUGAGGUG